Bicyclus anynana (squinting bush brown) is the source of this 1472-nucleotide long non-coding RNA. RefSeq lists it as uncharacterized. The transcript is spliced from 2 exons. NCBI's taxonomy places the organism in Eukaryota, Metazoa, Arthropoda, Insecta, Lepidoptera, Nymphalidae. The record is from RefSeq and is a predicted model, not a curated record.
CCUAGUUCGGACCACUUUAGUACUUUGACUUUUUAGACUAUUUGACUAUUUAUUAAUGAUCGAAGCUUUAAUAUUUUACUUGAGUACGAGUACGAAAGUUUUUGAGCCGGUAAAUCCAAAAAUAGGCUACUUGCCUCUUUUGUAAAAGUGUGUUUAAACUAAAUUAUGGAAGCAGUGUUACCAACUCUCUAACGGUGGAAUUCAUAGUCGUAGUAGGGGGCCCCUAAGGGGAUUAUUCAGCCGCUAUGUGUCGAAUUCAACCCCUACGCGUUUCAUAGACAAAAGAAACCCUUCAUUUGACAGGAGCUGGCGGCUGACUGCUGAAUUACCGAUAUUUGUCAGCCAAACCAUCCCCUGGCAUUUUUUUUGUUGUUAUUCGUGAUUUAUUUAUUAGAAAGUGGACUUGGAAAGUGUUAAGACUGUGUAUAAACAGCGAGUUAUAUCAGUAUCCAAGAUAAAUAUUCGCAAUUGCGUAAAUCCAGUUUAAUACUAUGGCGUUAUGGAAUGUACGAAAGAUUCUCAUAUUAGGCAUAAUAUGCCUCUGUUUGAUGAAGAAUGAACACAGAAGACCCAAGAGAGGAAUACCAAUACCGCUAUUAUUAUGCAUUCUAGCAGCACUUCGAUUCUAUGUAACGGGAUGUUUCCAGACUGUAUGUGCAGUCCAUCAAGCAUUCUAUGAAAUAACAGAAAUGCCACAAAUCAAGCUGUAUUGAUGGCAGACAUAGGUAUACAUAUAAACAACCCCGGAGGACCCUAUACACAGAUUUAAAGAAACCGGCUAUCAUGGCAGGGAAUAGCAGUGAUGAGCUCUGAGAAUACUGUUUUACCAAGAAUACUGAGAAUACUUUGGUCCUUGAAAAUCCGAGUUUUCAGAUCACAGUAAUUGGAAGACCCACAUACCUUGAAAAGUCAGCAGCAUUUAAUAUCGAGGUAGUAGGAGUGAGUGCAAUGUAUUGUAAGGUGGUCACUCACUCUGAAGUCCAUAACAAUAGAAAAUAUAUACAAAUCUUAAUUGAAUGAAUGAUGGAAAAUAAAAAUUUAUUGAUUCACAUCUUUAAUAAAGAUUAUUAUUAAAUGUUUACUUCUGCAUUUUUCAUUUAAGUCUGGCCCUAUAAAAAUAUACAAUAAUAACAAUAAGUUAUAUGUAAAUUAUGUAUUUAUUGUUGUUAUUAAUUAAACUUUGUAUCAAAAGGAUAUAGGUUUGAUUUUAGAAUUGCAAUAAGUACUGUGUGGUUCAUUAUUAUCAGCCCAUUACCGGGCCAAGCCUACCUCCUAAAUAUAUAAUAUUAUGUGAUCUAGAGCUUUGUGAAAUGCAAUUUUACCACUAAUCCUAAUGAUAAGCUACACUUAUAUUUAUUUACUGCACUUACUAUAAAUUGUAAAUAAAUACAGCAUAAUAGUACCUACUUGUAAUUAUUUCAGGUAAUUAUAGGUGGUUUUGAGUAAAAUAAACAAAUUUCCUCUGACAAUAA